GACGAACGCUGGCGGCGUGGAUUAGGCAUGCAAGUCGAACGGUAUCAUCCUUUCGGGGGUGAGAGAGUGGCGAACUGGUGAGUAACACGUAGGUUAUCUACCCUCAAGACGGGGACAACCCAGGGAAACUUGGGCUAAUACCGGAUGUGAGCAACUUUUAGUUGUUUGAAAGGUGGCGUAAGCUGUCGCUUGGGGAUGAGCCUGCGUCCUAUUAGUUAGUUGGUGAGGUAACGGCUCACCUAGGCAAUGAUAGGUAGGCGGCCUUAACGGGUGGUCGCCCACACUGGGAUUGAGAUACGGCCCAGACUCCUACGGGAGGCAGCAGUCGAGAAUAGUCUACAAUGGUCGGAAGACUGAUAGUGCGACGCCGCGUGAACGAUGAAUCCCUUCGGGGUGUAAAGUUCUUUUAUAUGUGAGCAGUGCUUCUUAUAUUAACAGUAUGGGGAGAGAGAUAUUAGCAUAUGAAUAAGCAACGGCUAAACUCCGUGCCAGCAGCCGACGGU
RNAcentral lists this ribosomal RNA (503 nucleotides) under uncultured bacterium. RNAcentral describes it as "bacterial SSU rRNA". It matches the Rfam family "Bacterial small subunit ribosomal RNA", at positions 28 to 521 of the family's 1533-position model. The record is from RNAcentral.